AGCCUACUGCUAUCGGUUUAGGACUAAGACAUGCAAGUUCAGCGACUCAGCAAGAGUUGCAGCGAACCGCUCAGUAACGAGUAGUCAACCUACCCCAUGGAGGAGGACAACUGCGGGAAACUGCAGUUAAUCCCCCAUAAACGAGGCACGCUGGAAUGCUGUCUCGCUAAAAAGGGUCAAUCUUAUGCUGAUUGAUACCGCCAUGGGACGGGACUGCUUCCGAUCAGGUAGUAGGUGGGGUAAUGGCCCACCUAGCCUCAGACCGGUACGGGCCGUGAGAGCGAUAGCCCGGAGAUGGAUACUGAGACAACGAUCCAGGCCCUACAGGGUGUAGCAGUCGCGAAACCUGGCCAAUGAGCGCGAGCGUGAGCCGGUUAAACCGAGUGGGGUCCUAACGGGUCCCUUUUAACGAGUGUUAGUAGCUCGUUGAACAAGGAGAGGGCAAGACUGGUGCCAGCCGCCGCGGUAAAACCAGCUCUUCGAGUGGUGGGCGUGCUUACUGGGCCUAAAGCAUCCGUAGCCGGGUCUGCAAGUCCACAGUUAAAGCCCACGUCUUAAGCGUGGAAUCGCUGUGGAUACUACAGACCUUGGGAUCGGGAGAGGCGUGAGGUACGUUUCGGGUAGGGGUGAAAUCCGAUAAUCCGAAACUGACCACCGGUGGUCGUAAGGCGUCACGCUAGAACGAGUCCGACGGUCAGGGAUGAAAGCCGACGGGGAGCGAGCCGGAUUAAAUACCCGGGUAGUCCUGGCUGUAAACGAUGCCCGUCUAAGUGCUGCGCAUGGCACGACUAUGCGCAGUGCCGAAGGGAAGCCGCUAAGCGGGCCGCCUGGGGAGUACGGUCGCAAGACUGAAACUUAAAGGAAUUGGUGGGGGAGCACCACAAGGGGUGGAGCCUGCGGUUUAAUUGGACUCAACUCCGGGAAGCUCACCUGGACAGACAGCCAAAUGAGAGCCAGGCUGAAGACCUUGCUCGAUGAGCUGAGAGGAGGUGCAUGGCCGUCGUCAGCUCGUGCCGUGAGGUGUCCUGUUAAGUCAGGCAACGAGCGAGACCCGGGCCAACAGUUACCAGCGGGCCCCAUUGGGGCGCCGGGAACACUGUUGGGACUGCCACAGAGGAAUGUGGAUGAAGGACCGGGCCACGGCAGGUCAGUAUGCCCCGAUAGUCCAGGGCUACACGCGGGCUACAAUGGUGCGGACAGUGGGUAACCAACCCCGAAAGGGGCCGGUAAUCUCUAAACCGCAUCGCAGUUGGGAUUGAGGGCUGCAACUCGCCCUCAUGAACUUGGAAUCCCUAGUAACGGCGCGUCAACAUCACGCCGUGAAUACGUCCCUGCUCCUUGCACACACCGCCCGUCGCAGCAUCCGAGAUGGGUCUGCUUGAGGCUGCCCCUACGUGAGGUAUUCGAGAGUAGGCUCGUUGAGGAGGCUG
This 1430-nucleotide ribosomal RNA is filed under the name uncultured prokaryote. Its description in RNAcentral is "partial 16S ribosomal RNA". It matches the Rfam family "Archaeal small subunit ribosomal RNA". The record is from RNAcentral.